This 1164-nucleotide long non-coding RNA is filed under the name Callithrix jacchus (white-tufted-ear marmoset). Its description in RNAcentral is "lncRNA (ENSCJAG00000077385.1)". The record is from RNAcentral. Lineage: Eukaryota; Metazoa; Chordata; Mammalia; Primates; Cebidae.
CCUCUUUUCUUGCCAUUAUUAUUAUCAACUUCAUUUCAUGAUGAUUUUCUGAGACUCCAGUAUAUAAUGGAAGGGGUGUGAAAACAGGAGCCACUCUGGGCCAUGACAUGCUGGAGCGAGCUUGCUGUGGCUCAUGAGAACUGAUGGUGAGGUCUCUUCCCAGUUCUGUGUCCAUAGCUUGAAAUCAGCCACAAUGGGAGUAUUUACACCAUGAAAAUCUACGAACACCACAAAUGAGUCCUGGGGCCCCCAGGGAGCUGGCUGUUAAAUAUUUGCCAGUCCACCUCUGACUCUGCUUCUCAAUAUGCUGGGUACAGACCUGCGUGGGCCCAGUCCUGUUUGGGUCCCUCUUAUGUAGCAAUGGAAUGCUGCGUACUCAGUCUUUCUGUUUGGCAGAGCCGAUAACACCCAGCGAAUAAGGAGAGGUGCAAGGCGCAUGGCUGUCUGUCAUCUUCUGGUCAGCUUGAUGUCUGCAAUGCUGGAGACUAGCAUUACAUCAUCGGAGAUGGUGACACAAGUACAGUGAAUUGUGCCACCAAGCCAGGAGCCUAAUGGAAUCAGAGAGCAGAUGGUGAAGACGUACUGCUAUCCUUUCCAGGCUGUGCCUGAGUCUGGGUGUCCACUGGCCAGCAGAGAGAAAGACAAGAUGGCUCCCACCCGCCCAAAGCUGCAGAAAAGGACCCCGAUACAGUCAAUUUUACUCGCUCACAUGCCAAUUAAUUUGGAAGAUGCUUAGAAAGAGAACUGACAACAUUGCUAAUGGAUGUGGCGUGUGAGGUGGAGAUUUCCAAGGUGAUUCUCAGGUUUUGUCCAGUGACACUAGGUAGAUGGCACGCCAUCGAGUGAUAAGGUAGAUUUUCACACUGAGUAGAUGGCAUGUUGCCUUGUGACAAAGGCAAAUCUACAGGAGCAGCAGGGCGGAGGUAAAUGCUACUGGUAUGCCCACUUUGCAGAAGUGGAAACUAAUGAUUAAAGGAUUUAAGUGAUGCGCCUCGUAUCACACAGCUCAUAAGUGACAGAGUGGGGUUGAAGUCCAUGUGUGCCUGGUCCCCGAGCCCAUGCUCCUGCUGCCUCACCCCUUCUGGCUCUCCUGCUUCCCCACUCUGCCUCAUCCCCAGCCCCGCCCUGCCCCCGGUGCAGUCACUGUGUCUCCUGGUACGUUCU